This 643-nucleotide ribosomal RNA is filed under the name Curvularia sp. C1/12. RNAcentral describes it as "LSU rRNA". It matches the Rfam family "Eukaryotic large subunit ribosomal RNA", at positions 38 to 697 of the family's 3401-position model. Lineage: Eukaryota; Fungi; Ascomycota; Dothideomycetes; Pleosporales; Pleosporaceae. The record is from RNAcentral.
GCAAUCAAUAAGCGGAGGAAAAGAAACCAACAGGGAUUGCCCUAGUAACGGCGAGUGAAGCGGCAACAGCUCAAAUUUGAAAUCUGGCUCUUUCAGAGUCCGAGUUGUAAUUUGCAGAGGGCGCUUUGGCUUUGGCAGCGGUCCAAGUUCCUUGGAACAGGACGUCACAGAGGGUGAGAAUCCCGUACGUGGUCGCUAGCUAUUGCCGUGUAAAGCCCCUUCGACGAGUCGAGUUGUUUGGGAAUGCAGCUCUAAAUGGGAGGUAAAUUUCUUCUAAAGCUAAAUAUUGGCCAGAGACCGAUAGCGCACAAGUAGAGUGAUCGAAAGAUGAAAAGCACUUUGGAAAGAGAGUCAAACAGCACGUGAAAUUGUUGAAAGGGAAGCGCUUGCAGCCAGACUUGCUUGCAGUUGCUCAUCCGGGCUUUUGCCCGGUGCACUCUUCUGUAGGCAGGCCAGCAUCAGUUUGGGCGGUGGGAUAAAGGUCUCUGUCACGUACCUCUCUUCGGGGAGGCCUUAUAGGGGAGACGACAUACCACCAGCCUAGACUGAGGUCCGCGCAUCUGCUAGGAUGCUGGCGUAAUGGCUGUAAGCGGCCCGUCUUGAAACACGGACCAAGGAGUCUAACAUCUAUGCGAGUUUGGGG